Molecule: ribosomal RNA, 497 nt
Filed under: uncultured bacterium
Lineage: Bacteria
Description: partial 16S ribosomal RNA
Rfam family: Bacterial small subunit ribosomal RNA
Source: RNAcentral
GAUGAACGCUGGCGGCGUGCCUAAUACAUGCAAGUCGAGCGAACGGACGAGAAGCUUGCUUCUCUGAUGUUGGCGGCGGACGGGUGAGUAACACGUGGAUAACCUACCUAUAAGACUGGGAUAACUUCGGGAAACCGGAGCUAAUACCGGAUAAUAUUUUGAACCGCAUGGUUCAAAAGUGAAAGACGGUCUUGCUGUCACUUAUAGAUGGAUCCGCGCUGCAUUAGCUAGUUGGUAAGGUAACGGCUUACCAAGGCAACGAUGCAUAGCCGACCUGAGAGGUUGAUCGGCCACACUGGAACUGAGACACGGUCCAGACUCCUACGGGAGGCAGCAGUAGGGAAUCUUCCGCAAUGGGCGAAAGCCUGACGGAGCAACGCCGCGUGAGUGAUGAAGGUCUUCGGAUCGUAAAACUCUGUUAUUAGGGAAGAACAUAUGUGUAAGUAACUGUGCACAUCUUGACGGUACCUAAUCAGAAAGCCACGGCUAACUACGUG